UACGUAGGGUGCGAGCGUUGUUCGGAAUUACUGGGCGUAAAGGGCGCGUAGGCGGCCUGCUAAGUCGAACGUGAAAUCCCCGGGCUCAACCCGGGAACUGCGUCCGAUACUGGCAGGCUUGAAUCCGGGAGAGGGAUGCGGAAUUCCAGGUGUAGCGGUGAAAUGCGUAGAUAUCUGGAGGAACACCGGUGGCGAAGGCGGCAUCCUGGACCGGCAUUGACGCUGAGGCGCGAAAGCCAGGGGAGCAAACGGG
RNAcentral lists this ribosomal RNA (253 nucleotides) under uncultured bacterium. RNAcentral's name for it is "partial 16S ribosomal RNA". It matches the Rfam family "Bacterial small subunit ribosomal RNA", at positions 524 to 776 of the family's 1533-position model. The record is from RNAcentral.